GACGAACGCUGGCGGCGUGCUUAACACAUGCCAGUCGAACGGAAAGGCCCUGCUUUUGUGGGGUGCUCGAGUGGCGAACGGGUGAGUAACACGUGAGUAACCUGCCCUUGACUUUGGGAUAACUUCAGGAAACUGGGGCUAAUACCGGAUAGGAGCUCCUGCUGCAUGGUGGGGGUUGGAAAGUUUCGGCGGUUGGGGAUGGACUCGCGGCUUAUCAGCUUGUUGGUGGGGUAGUGGCUUACCAAGGCUUUGACGGGUAGCCGGCCUGAGAGGGUGACCGGCGACAUUGGGACUGAGAUACGGCCCAGACUCCUACGGGAGGCAGCAGUGGGGAAUAUUGCACAAUGGGCGGAAGCCUGAUGCAGCAACGCCGCGUGCGGGAUGACGGCCUUCGGGUUGUAAACCGCUUUCGCCUGUGACGAAGCGUGAGUGACGGUAAUGGGUAAAGAAGCACCGGCUAACUACGUG
Molecule: ribosomal RNA, 468 nt
Filed under: uncultured bacterium
Lineage: Bacteria
Description: partial 16S ribosomal RNA
Rfam family: Bacterial small subunit ribosomal RNA
Source: RNAcentral